AUCGGAGAUUUCCCUUCGGGGACAGUGGUGACAGGUGGUGCAUGGUUGUCGUCAGCUCGUGUCGUGAGAUGUUGGGUUAAGUCCCGCAACGAGCGCAACCCUUGCCUUUAGUUGCCAGCAUUAAGUUGGGCACUCUAGAGGGACUGCCGAGGAUAACUCGGAGGAAGGUGGGGAUGACGUCAAAUCAUCAUGCCCCUUAUGCUUAGGGCUACACACGUGCUACAAUGGGUGGUACAGAGGGUUGCCAAGCCGCGAGGUGGAGCUAAUCCCUUAAAGCCAUUCUCAGUUCGGAUUGUAGGCUGAAACUCGCCUACAUGAAGCUGGAGUUACUAGUAAUCGCAGAUCAGAA
This 349-nucleotide ribosomal RNA is filed under the name Paraclostridium bifermentans. RNAcentral describes it as "bacterial SSU rRNA". It matches the Rfam family "Bacterial small subunit ribosomal RNA", at positions 1005 to 1354 of the family's 1533-position model. The record is from RNAcentral. Lineage: Bacteria; Bacillati; Bacillota; Clostridia; Peptostreptococcales; Peptostreptococcaceae.